GACAGAGGGUGCAAACGUUGCUCGGAAUUACUGGGCGUAAAGCGCGUGUAGGCGGUUCCGCAAGUCGGGUGUGAAAGCCCAGGGCUCAACCCUGGAAGUGCACUUGAUACUACGGAGCUUGAGUACUGAAGAGGAGAGCGGAAUUCCCGGUGUAGAGGUGAAAUUCGUAGAUAUCGGGAGGAACACCAGUGGCGAAGGCGGCUCUCUGGGCAGAUACUGACGCUGAGAAGCGAAAGCAUGGGGAGCAAACAGG
RNAcentral lists this ribosomal RNA (253 nucleotides) under uncultured bacterium. Its description in RNAcentral is "partial 16S ribosomal RNA". It matches the Rfam family "Bacterial small subunit ribosomal RNA", at positions 524 to 776 of the family's 1533-position model. The record is from RNAcentral.